GGGCCGCUGGGGAGGGAGACUUGGGAAAAGCACCCGAGGCUGGGUGGGUGCAGCUGAGCUCUUCCAGCUGAGUGCGAUCCAGGCCUUCCUGUUACGUGUCACCGCGCAGUUGGGGUGCAGGGGCAGCGCUCCAGGGCCCACGUGCUGGCAUGGGUUCCCUGGAGCCCAGAACUGCGCUGCUCACAGAACUCGCGUCCCCCUUGCCACAUGGGCUUGGUCACAGAAGGGACAAACACCCUCAAGGUCCUAUGCCAGGCCUGAGGUCAGGGGCCCUGCAAAAGAGGAUUUCCUGAAGAGGAGGGUCCACACACACAGGUAGCCAGGAGAGACUGGAGCUGCUCUGCUGCAGUGCAUUUCCUACUCAGCUUUUCCUGGCUGCUGUCAGAGGUAGGUCUUUCUUGGACUGAAUGACAAGAACCCA
Molecule: long non-coding RNA, 421 nt
Filed under: Fukomys damarensis (Damara mole-rat)
Lineage: Eukaryota; Metazoa; Chordata; Mammalia; Rodentia; Bathyergidae
Description: lncRNA (ENSFDAG00000032159.1)
Source: RNAcentral